GACGAACGCUGGCGGCGUGCCUAAUACAUGCAAGUCGAGCGAAUCAAUAGGAGCUUGCUCCUGUUGAUUAGCGGCGGACGGGUGAGUAACACGUGGGCAACCUGCCUGUAAGAUCGGGAUAACUUCGGGAAACCGGAGCUAAUACCGGAUAAUCCUUUUCCACAUAUGUGGGAAAGCUGAAAGACGGUUUCGGCUGUCACUUACAGAUGGGCCCGCGGCGCAUUAGCUAGUUGGUGAGGUAACGGCUCACCAAGGCGACGAUGCGUAGCCGACCGGGGAGGGGGAUCGGCCAGACUGUGACUGAGACACGGCCCAGACUCCUACGGGAGGCAGCAGUAGGGAAUCUUCCGCAAUGAACGAAAGUCGGACGGAGCAACGCCGCGUGAGCGAUGAAGUCCUUCGGGUCGUAAAGCUCUGUUGUUAGGGAAGAACAAGUAUCGGAGUAACUGCCGGUACCUUGACGGUACCUAACCAGAUAGCCACGGCUAACUACGUGCCAGCCGCCGCCGUAA
This 512-nucleotide ribosomal RNA is filed under the name uncultured bacterium. Its description in RNAcentral is "partial 16S ribosomal RNA". It matches the Rfam family "Bacterial small subunit ribosomal RNA", at positions 28 to 523 of the family's 1533-position model. The record is from RNAcentral.